UAGCGACAAGGGCAAACUCUGCCGAAAGGCGAGGACGCAAAGCCACCGGUCUACAGGCUCAGCCCAGGAUAGCGGGGCUGCCGGC
This 85-nucleotide non-coding RNA is filed under the name Gammaproteobacteria bacterium. Its description in RNAcentral is "c-di-GMP sequence". It matches the Rfam family "c-di-GMP-I riboswitch aptamer". Rfam says of the family: GEMM was predicted in a large-scale screen for bacterial structured RNA regulatory elements. Genes associated with GEMM are involved in a diverse array of functions, including chemotaxis regulation, signal transduction, secretion and chitin. Lineage: Bacteria; Pseudomonadati; Pseudomonadota; Gammaproteobacteria. The record is from RNAcentral.